AUUUAUAAGCGCCUGGGCAGUAUUCUACUGUUGACGAGGAAAGAGUUUAUCGAAAUAUUCGGCGGAUGGCUCUAUGGUAAUGUUACUACCAUUUAAGAAGCUUGUAAAAAAAUAGCAGUAAUGCUUUAGAACAAAGCAGGCUU
RNAcentral lists this non-coding RNA (143 nucleotides) under human gut metagenome. RNAcentral's name for it is "glmS glucosamine-6-phosphate activated ribozyme". It matches the Rfam family "glmS glucosamine-6-phosphate activated ribozyme aptamer". From Rfam's summary of the family: This entry contains a glucosamine-6-phosphate activated ribozyme that is found in the mRNA for GlmS. GlmS is an enzyme that uses fructose-6-phosphate and glutamine to generate glucosamine-6-phosphate. The ribozyme catalyses self cleavage of the glmS mRNA that is thought to regulate GlmS activity. The record is from RNAcentral.